UCUCUGGAGCACGCGUUCCUCCCUGCUCCCGGGAGUCCGUUUCCCAGAACUUUCUGAGGCCCGCGCAUGCUCCCCUCGACUCCCCGUGUUUCUCCUCUCCACGGAAAUCCACGCAUUCACGCCCCUCCCCUCCCCCGAGCCUGCAGAGGACUCCGCCCUGCUUUCCCUACAUUCAGGGCUGCUCCUUUUGUCGCCAAUACAGACCUGUUGACAGGUCACGCCUGGGAAGCGGGUGGGGUGUCCCGGAGCAGUGCAGAGGCGCUGCAGGCCCGGCUUCUGGCUGUGGGGGAGCUGUGCCCUGAAGCCUCGCCGAAAUCUCGCGUCUGGGGCCAGCAGGGGGCACUAGAGUCAACAGGGACUGUAUGCAAAACCCACUUCCUCCCAGGCCCUCUAGGGGGAUGGUCAGGCUUCUGCAGAGAUGGGGAGGAUCCUUUCCUGGUAAGGGGAGAGGGAGGGGCUAGGAGCCAAGCGGAAGGACCCCGUCGUGUUCAAGGCCCUUCAAGGGACGGGACAGGCGAGGAGUCUCUUUGAGUCUUUUGAAUUGUUUUAUCAGUCACGCCUGGGAAGUACUCAGCCUCCACAAACUCUGUUUUCCUGAAAGGGGUCGGGGGGACCCCAAAAUCUCCUGCCACAGGCUAUGAUGGGCAUGGUGGCUAAGAGCAACAGGCGGCGUGGUGAGGCUGGCUGUCUUUUUAUGGCUCUGCCCUUCCAUUCCCCGAGGCAUCCCCAUGCCAGUGAACAGAGCUGUGGGUUCCCAGCUGCACAGAUGAAUGCACGAACGAAACAUAGGUCCAUACAAAGGAAGUCAUUGCAUUGAUCCAGAUUCGACCUGGGAUUGUCGCAUAAAACAGGGCUGAUAAAAACCGUCGUGUUUUCACCUUGGAAAUAGAGACUCCGCCUCCCCCUCUCUGCUUGAGGCAUUCAGCAAAGACUGCUUCAGCUGCCAUAACAAAAUAUCACAGACUGGAUGGAUUAAACAACAGAAAUUUAUUUCUCACAGUUCUGGAGGCUGGGAAGUCCAAGAUCAAAGUGCCAGCAAGCAAUGAAAAUAGAGGUAUCUUCAUUUUGGAAAGUGAGAGUCAACCUGCGCUGAAUUAGAGUGAUGACAAGAGAUACUUUAAGACUGCAAUGAGGAAAGCAAGGGAGGGGGACGCAUUUGACAGUCUGUUCUGCUCUGCUCCUGGAACUGAGAGAGGCUGAGUCAGCACUAACCUUUGCACGGGUGAAGACACUGACAGUAAGAAAAGGCAAACCACAGGUCCAAGACAAAGUGGUCAAGUCAAGAAGGAACUCAGGCUGUGUAGUCCUGGUGCAAGGCUCCUUGCCCCCAGUGUUGGGUCACACUGGCUGGCUGUGCUCCCAUGACACUUAGUGCAUACCGGGCUCCUGACUUAAUAACACAUGUUUGAAAUGGCCCCUGAUCCCCAAUCUGCUGCAGGAUUCUGCAGAUGCACAAGAGGCUGCAGUGGAAGGUCUUGGAGAGAAUUCAGAGUGGCUUGCCUACGUUCCCAUGACCGUGUGUCCUAAUGGGAGAAUCACCACUUUGGAAAAUUCUUUUGGAGGCCAGGCACGGUGGCUCAUGCCUGUAAUCUCAGCACUUUGGGAGGCCGAGGCAGGCAGAUCACCUGAGGUCAGAAGUUCGAGACCAGCCUGGGCAACAUAGUGAAACCCCAUCUCUACUAAAAAUACAAAACUUAGUCUGGCAUGGUGGUGCACACCUGUAGUCCCAGCUACCCGGGAGGCUGAGGCAAGAGAAUUGCUUGAACCUGGGAGGCAGAGAUUUCAGUGAGCCAAGAUUGCACCACUGCACUCCAGUCUGGGCAACAGAGCGAGACUCUGUCUUAAAAAAAAAAAUUCUUUUGGGGCUAGCUGUGAAUGAGCAGAGGGAAAGGCAGGAGCCUUCAGGUAGGGAGCAGCAUGAUUCCACCCCAGGUUCAGGCCUCCUGGGUGUACAGAGGGCAGGAGGAUCCUCCCCAGGUAUGUGAGAGGAAGGGAAGAUGAGGUGUUUGGGUCAGGGAACACACUAGAAAUCCAGGUGCUCACUGAUGGAUAGUGCUUGGCAUCUCUGUGUUCUGCCAAUCCAGCCUCAAAGCAACUUUGGAAGAGGAUUUAUGCCCUUCACACGCUUCCAGCCUGGGCCAGAGCAUCUGCGCACUCCCCUGGGUAUAGGCCUCCAGGGCUUGGAGCAAAGGAAGAGCUAAGAAUUGUCAGUGCUCAGGAGGCAGAUUUUCAGGGAGGAUCCUCUUGCAUCUCAGGACAUGGAAAGGGCUAAAAGAGCCUUGAGUGUCCUGUCCCAGUGCUGGGGUCUCAGACGGCCGCUCUGGGGCAUCUCCACCAUGGUCUGACUUCUGCUGCUUGAAACCGUUCUCCCUCAGGGCACAGGCAAGAGUCCUCAAGGAAGAGCACCUGGGCACCUGGGUUGACUCUUCCUCUCUCCAGGUGGAGAGAACCAGUAGAGUUCACCUGGGGUCAUGAUCUGACUUAAUCCCCCUCUGCAUUUCUUUCUCUUCUCAGGGGCCUGGGCUCAGCCUUAACUCAGCCUUCCUCAGUGUCUGGGACUUGGGGUAAACAGUCACCAUCUUCUGCACUGGAAGCAGCAGUGACAUUGAGGGUUCUAACCAUAUCUCUUGGUACCUACAGUGCCCAGGAACUGGCCCCACACUCCUCAUUUAUUAUGGCCAUUCUCAACCCUUAGGGGCCCCAGCUUGAUUUUCAGUCUCUAGGUCUGGCAACACGGCCUUCCUGGCCAUCUUUGGCCUCUAGCCUGAAGAUGGGCCUGACAGUCACUGUUUGUUCUGGGACAGCCAUAGCAUUUUUACCCACAUGUGCUCCAAGUCCACGGGGAACAGAGACCAAAUCUGCCAUGAGUGACCAGUGUCAUGGGGCUUCACACCAGUCAGGCAGUCAGAUGGUGGUGUUUGCUUUCAUUUCUGCUCAUCAUCCCAAGGGUGUGGACGCUUCAGGAAUGGGACCCUAUGCAACUCUCAUUGCUCUUUAUAAUGAUGUGGGAAAGAGAAAUCAUCUCCCAGGGGACUUGGCUUUGCAAAAAUGAAAAUAAAAACUUCCUCCCUCCCUCUGUGCAGUGAAUGGCCUCUGAAUGCAGACUUGGUCUCCCUCUUCAGUGGCAAGGUUAGAGGAAGAACAACAGCUUCUUAUUGCACUGAGACAACUCAGGGGCCACCUCAUUUGAAGGUGUGCAUCAGUGUGAGCCCAGGUAUUCCUGUACUCAGUGAUCGAGGUCUCUCUCCUUACCUUGUCUCCACCUGGAUCUGACCAAAGUGACCGAGAUGAUCCAGGUUUUAGUUUUCUCUUGCUGUGUAACAAAUUUCUGCAAACCUAGCACCUUAAAAUAACACCCAUUUAUGAUCUCCCAGCUUUCCUGGAUCAGGAGUCUGGGAUCAGCUUAGCUGAGUCAUCUGUUCAGGGUCUUCCCAACCUGAAAUCAGGGCAUUGGCUUGGCUGUGUUUUCAUCUGGAGGCUCAACUGAGGAAGAAUCUGUUUCCAAACUUACUGGCAGAACUCACUUCCUUGCUGCUGUAUGACUGAAGCCAGGGUUUUGGGGGCUAUUUGCCAUCAGUGCCCGUAGCUCCUAGAGUUCCUAGAGGUCACCCAUAGCUCAUUUGCCAUUUAAUGUAACCUAAUGAAAAGAGAAAUAUUCCAUCACCUUUGCCAUAUUUAUUGGUUAGAAGCAAAUCACAGGUUCUUCUUGAAUUCAAAUGAAGAGAUUCUGCAAGGGUAUGACUCAUUUGGGGUCACCAUAGGGUACAUCCUCAGUAAUUGUGUGUGGUCAGGACUAGGGGAGGAGAUUCUAAUUAUACAGAGAAGACUUGUGCUUUCUGUUCAGAAUUUAAGAAGACAUCCUUUACUUUUUAAGACACUCUGUCAUUUUAUUCAUUGAUUUUUAGUGGUGUUCUAGAAAGCAGAUUUUCCAAGUGUAAACCACAAUAAUGAAAUGGUAGAGCUGAUGACAGUUCAGAUGCUAUUAGAUGGGUGUGCAGAUCUGGGUUUAGAGCCAAUGGAUGGAGUAGUGUCUCUUGGUUUCCACUGUGGAGAGGCCCCUUGGGAAAACCCACCACCCCCAUUUCUCCUCACUCCCUGCCUGGCCCCAUGGUCUCUGCUUGGUCUGGCCUAUCCUAUUAAAAAUAUACUUCAGU
Long non-coding RNA from Pongo pygmaeus (Bornean orangutan), 4154 nucleotides. RefSeq lists it as uncharacterized. The transcript has 4 exons. The record is from RefSeq and is a predicted model, not a curated record. Lineage: Eukaryota; Metazoa; Chordata; Mammalia; Primates; Hominidae.